AAUGGGCGAAAGCCUGACGCAGCAACGCCGCGUGGGGGAUGAAGGCUCUCGGGUUGUAAACCCCUUUCAGGAGGGACGAAAAUGACGGUACCUCCAGAAGAAGCCCCGGCCAACUACGUGCCAGCAGCCGCGGUAACACGUAGGGGGCGAGCGUUGUCCGGAUUUAUUGGGCGUAAAGAGCUCGUAGGCGGUUUGGCAAGUCGGGUGUGAAAUUUCGAGGCUCAACCUCGAAACGCCACUCGAUACUGCCAUGACUGGAGUCCGGUAGAGGAGUGCGGAAUUCCUGGUGUAGCGGUGAAAUGCGCAGAUAUCAGGAGGAACACCAACGGCGAAGGCAGCACUCUGGGCCGGUACUGACGCUGAGGAGCGAAAGCGUGGGGAGCAAA
This 386-nucleotide ribosomal RNA is filed under the name uncultured bacterium. Its description in RNAcentral is "bacterial SSU rRNA". It matches the Rfam family "Bacterial small subunit ribosomal RNA", at positions 370 to 772 of the family's 1533-position model. The record is from RNAcentral.